This 61-nucleotide microRNA precursor is filed under the name Strongyloides ratti. RNAcentral's name for it is "microRNA str-mir-34a precursor". Its record names the gene str-mir-34a. Lineage: Eukaryota; Metazoa; Nematoda; Chromadorea; Rhabditida; Strongyloididae. The record is from miRBase by way of RNAcentral.
UGGCAGUGUGGUUAGCUGGUUGUGAUUUUUUAGACGCUCAACAGCUCACUCAACUGCCAAG